UAAUAAAAGUGUUUUAUGGCACUUUUUCAAACAAAUCCAUAUCCACCUUGUGUGCAAUGUUUUUUUUUUUUAAAUAAACACUUUAUUUUUUAAUUGCCAAUUUAUCUGAAGAUCAGUAUUAUUAUGAAUUAACUUAAUUCAAAAUA
This 146-nucleotide unclassified non-coding RNA is filed under the name soil metagenome. RNAcentral's name for it is "partial internal transcribed spacer 1". The record is from RNAcentral.